Molecule: ribosomal RNA, 395 nt
Filed under: uncultured bacterium
Lineage: Bacteria
Description: partial 16S ribosomal RNA
Rfam family: Bacterial small subunit ribosomal RNA
Source: RNAcentral
AAUAUUGCACAAUGGAGGAAACUCUGAUGCAGCGACGCCGCGUGAGUGAUGAAGGUUUNCGGAUCNUNAAGCUCUGUCCUUGGGGNAGAAACGGACGGUACCUUAGGAGGAAGCCCCGGCUAACUACGUGCCAGCAGCCGCGGUAAUACGUAGGGGGCGAGCGUUAUCCGGAAUUAUUGGGCGUAAAGGCUGCGUAGGCGGCUUUUUAAGUCAGAUGUGAAAGGCUACGGCCUAACCGUAGUUAGCAUUUGAAACUAAAAGGCUUGAGUGCAGGAGAGGAGAGUGGAAUUCCUAGUGUAGCGGUGAAAUGCGUAGAUAUUAGGAGGAACACCAGUGGCGAAGGCGACUCUCUGGACUGCAACUGACGCUGAGGCACGAAAGCGUGGGGAGCGAAC